GAUGAACGCUGGCGGCGUGCUUAACACAUGCAAGUCGAACGGGAAUUAUUUUAUUGAAACUUCGGUCGAUUUAAUUUAAUUCUAGUGGCGGACGGGUGAGUAACGCGUGGGUAACCUGCCUUAUACAGGGGGAUAACAGUCAGAAAUGGCUGCUAAUACCGCAUAAGCGCACAGAGCUGCAUGGCUCAGUGUGAAAAACUCCGGUGGUAUAAGAUGGACCCGCGUUGGAUUAGCUGGUUGGUGGGGUAACGGCCCACCAAGGCGACGAUCCAUAGCCGGCCUGAGAGGGUGAACGGCCACAUUGGGACUGAGACACGGCCCAGACUCCUACGGGAGGCAGCAGUGGGGAAUAUUGCACAAUGGGGGAAACCCUGAUGCAGCGACGCCGCGUGAAGGAAGAAGUAUCUCGGUAUGUAAACUUCUAUCAGCGGGGAAGAUAGUGACGGUACCUGACGAAGAAGCCCCGGCUAACUACGUG
This 478-nucleotide ribosomal RNA is filed under the name uncultured bacterium. RNAcentral's name for it is "partial 16S ribosomal RNA". It matches the Rfam family "Bacterial small subunit ribosomal RNA", at positions 28 to 507 of the family's 1533-position model. The record is from RNAcentral.